UUUAAGGCUUCACUAGAAGCCAUUAUAUAUAAUAUACACAUAUAUAU
This is a non-coding RNA of Plasmodium falciparum 3D7, 47 nucleotides long. NCBI's taxonomy places the organism in Eukaryota, Apicomplexa, Aconoidasida, Haemosporida, Plasmodiidae. The record is from Rfam.